UGGGGGAAUAUUGCACAAUGGGCGCAAGCCUGAUGCAGCAACGCCGCGUGAGGGAUGACGGCCUUCGGGUUGUAAACCUCUUUUAGUAGGGAAGAAGCGAAAGUGACGGUACCUGCAGAAAAAAGCACCGGCUAACUACGUGCCAGCAGCCGCGGUAAUACGUAGGGUGCGACGUUGUGCCGGAAUUAUGGGCGUAAAGAGCUCGUAGGCGGUCUGUCGCGUCUGCUGUGAAAACCCGAGGCUCAACCUCGGGCCUGCAGUGGGUACGGGCAGACUAGAGUGCGGUAGGGGAGAAUGGAAUUCCUGGUGUAGCGGUGGAAUGCGCAGAUAUCAGGAGGAACACCGAUGGCGAAGGCAGUUCUCUGGGCCGUAACUGACGCUGAGGNGCGAAAGCGUGGGGAGCGAACAGGAUUAGAUACCCUGGUAGUCCACGCCGUAAACGUUGGGCGCUAGAUGCGGGGACCAUUCCACGGUUUCCGUGUCGCAGCUAACGCAUUAAGCGCCCCGCCUGGGGGAGUACGGCCGCAAGGCUAAAACUCAAAGGAAUUGACGGGGUCAAGCUGUUUCCU
Molecule: ribosomal RNA, 569 nt
Filed under: uncultured bacterium
Lineage: Bacteria
Description: partial 16S ribosomal RNA
Rfam family: Bacterial small subunit ribosomal RNA
Source: RNAcentral